AUCCUUCUUCCAUAUUUGUAAGUUUUGGAGUGUUUAUUUCUGAAGGUCGAAGAUUUUCAAGCUUGAACUUUAUGCAAGUUUGUUUGAAGUUUUAAUAAUAUUCCGCUAUUCUCUGUAUAAUUCUUUGCUUUAAAAUCUUUAUAGAUUCCUGGCUCCUUUGAGGAAUUGAGGAAUAUUUGACACACAUUUAGUUAUUAAAUAAAUUUACUUGAAUACAUAUAACUGUAAACAUAUAUAUAGAGACACACAUACAUUAAAAUUUCAAUACCAAUAAAUAAUUAUCAUGAUAAAUGUAAAAACAUUCCAAUAAAAUUAUAUACUAAUACUGUCUAGUCUAGGAAUAUAAAAAGUAUAUACUAAUUUUCUAGAUAGUAUUAGAAUAUUAAACAUUAUCUUAAUUAGUAUAGCAUAUACUACGAGUGGUAUAUAAAAGUCUUCUCAUUUAGAAAAAUUACAUAAGAAUCUCCAUGAAGAAUCCUGCCGAGUCCAGAUACGUGAACUCGUAAACCUACAGAAGAACACUUGCUUCCUAAAUAGCCAUACGUGUCAUAUUAGGGGAUUAUAUUCCACUUUGCACAUAAGGUAUAUCUUGGGCACAGAGGUAGCAGUCUCGAGGAAAAAUAAGAAAAUAAGAAAUUUUGCAGUUGAACUCAUCCUCAAUACAGUUCUCCUCCAAUAUGUUCAUCACAAAGAAUUUAGAUUGAAGGUCUAAGUCAAGAUAAACCUGGGAAAAAACAAGAGCACCAAAAAAAAUACAUAUGGAAUUCGAGUAUCCUAACAUUCUAUUAACCCAUUUAUAGCUCUUGAAAGGAACUAAGAAACAAAAAAGCGAAGCAUGUCAGUAAGCAGCUAGCAACUAAUAUAGUUCAAUCUUAACCAAAUUGAAUGGAACAGAAAAAAAUUCAACACAACAAGUUUACCACUUUUGAGAAUUACAUCAUCAAGGGAUUGAGAUUUUAUAUCCAACUCAGCACUUAGCUCGAUCAAAUUCUUCUCUGCAAGAGGGAUUGUAUCCUUACAAAUUUUAGCAUAUUCUUCAUAUACCAUAUGAAGCUUUUCUAACUGUUGGAAAUAAGAAUCAGCAUUAGAAGACUCCACCGCUAACACUUUCAUGUGUUCUGCAGAACUAGCAGCUUUCACUCUUUGCUGUAACAUACAUGAAAAUUACGAACCACUUUAGAGCCAACUGACAUUAAAUUUAAUGCUUGAUUUACAGAUAUAAAAAGAUAAAAGGAUAUCAACCUUUUUAACAAAGUCAUCUUCCUCUUCAGCAGAGAAAGGGCGCUCACAGCAAGGGCAAAAAUGAUGAUCACGAGCAACUCUUUCAAAAGGAUCAAACAUUUUCCGCAUUCCAUCAGCAAUGUUGUAUUUGCUGCAACCAGUGUAUCACAGUAUAAAAACUUAAAAACCUUAGUCUCAGAUGAUGUACAAAAGGUUUGCAUUUUUAUGGGCGUAUAUUUUCAGAUUUCAUUCAAACCGGA
RNAcentral lists this long non-coding RNA (1481 nucleotides) under Panax ginseng (ginseng). Its description in RNAcentral is "long non-coding RNA (PGIN_LNC017269)". Lineage: Eukaryota; Viridiplantae; Streptophyta; Magnoliopsida; Apiales; Araliaceae. The record is from RNAcentral.